CCUACGGGGGACAGCAGUGGGGAAUAUUGCACAAUGGGGGAAACCCUGAUGCAGCGACGCCGCGUGAGUGAAGAAGUAAUUCGUUACGUAAAGCUCUAUCAGCAGGGAAGAAACACUGACCUUACGGUCAGCAGACAGUACCUGAGUAAGUAGCCCCGGCUAACUACGUACCAGCAGCCGCGGUAAUACGUAGGGGGCAAGCGUUAUCCGGAUAUACUGGGUGUAACGGGAGCGUAGUCGGUUCGCCAAGUCUGAAGUGAAAUUCCGCAGCUUAACUGCGGAACUGCUUUGGAAACUGGCGAACUAGAGUGCGGGAGGGGUAAGCGGAAUUCCUAGUGUAGCGGUGAAAUGCGUAGAUAUUAGGAGGAACACCGGUGGCGAAGGCGGCUUACUGGAACGUAACUGACGUUGAGGCUCGAAAGCGUGGGGAGCAAACAGGAUUAGAUACCCCUGUAGUC
Molecule: ribosomal RNA, 458 nt
Filed under: uncultured bacterium
Lineage: Bacteria
Description: partial 16S ribosomal RNA
Rfam family: Bacterial small subunit ribosomal RNA
Source: RNAcentral